Long non-coding RNA from Mauremys reevesii (Reeves's turtle), 501 nucleotides. RefSeq lists it as uncharacterized. The transcript has 3 exons. The record is from RefSeq and is a predicted model, not a curated record. NCBI's taxonomy places the organism in Eukaryota, Metazoa, Chordata, Testudines, Geoemydidae.
UAGGGACUGUCUUUUUGUUCUGUAUUUGUACAGCACCUAGCAAAACGGGGUCCUGAUCCAUGGUCAGGGCUCCUAGGUUUACUACAGUAAAACAAAUAAAUAAUAAUAAGCCCUCCUACCAUCCACUCAGUUCUACUUGGCCUCUCUAUUUCUCCACUUUCCUCUUCCCAGCUGUUCCAAGAGACUUUAUUCACUCAAGGUCCUGAGUGAUGUCUUCAGUCUGAAAUCAAUCAACUUCAAAUUGCCUCUUGGCUCCUACAAGCUGGACUGAAGAAACUAGAUUCAGAUUUAUUCAGAGAACAAACUGAAACCUGCAUUUGUUCGAGCAAGUGGUGGAAUCAAAAAGUCACAGUCCCAUGGGUUGAUGACCACAAAGCCUCGGGAGCCACUACAUCUGGGAAAAGGAAAGAGAGCAGCUGAAUUACAGGCAGAGAGGAAUGCAGAGUGACUGGAUUUGUGCUGAUUCCUACAGAGCUCACCAAUCAACGUUUUCAAGGUGAG